Molecule: ribosomal RNA, 497 nt
Filed under: uncultured bacterium
Lineage: Bacteria
Description: partial 16S ribosomal RNA
Rfam family: Bacterial small subunit ribosomal RNA
Source: RNAcentral
GAUGAACGCUGGCGGCGUGCCUAAUACAUGCAAGUCGAGCGAACAGGCGAGGAGCUUGCUCCUCUGACGUUAGCGGCGGACGGGUGAGUAACACGUGGAUAACCUCCCUAUCAGACUGGGAUAACUUCGGGAAACCGGAUCUAAUACCGGAUAAUAUAUUGCACCGCAUGGUUCAAUAGUGAAAGACGGUUUUGCUGUCACUUAUAGAUGGAUCCGCGCCGCAUUAGCUGGUUGGUAAGGUAAAGGCUUACCAAGGGAACGCUGCGUGGCCGACCGGAGAGGGUGAUAGGCCACACGGGAACGUAGACAGGGACCAGACGCCUGCGGGAGGCAGCAGUAGGGAACGGGCCGCAACGGUCGAGAGUCUGACGGAGCAACGGGGCGUGAGUGAUGAAGGUCUUCGGAUCGUAAAACUCUGUUAUUAGGGAAGAACAAAUGUGGAAGUAACUAUGCACGUCUUGACGGUACCUAAUCAGAAAGCCACGGCUAACUACGUG